Molecule: ribosomal RNA, 399 nt
Filed under: uncultured bacterium
Lineage: Bacteria
Description: bacterial SSU rRNA
Rfam family: Bacterial small subunit ribosomal RNA
Source: RNAcentral
AACGAACGCUGGCGGCGUGGAUAAGACAUGCAAGUCGAACGGGAACUUCAGCUGUAGCAAUACAGUUGAAGUUUUAGUGGCGAACGGGUGCGUAACACGUGGGCAAUCUGCCGAGAAGUGGGGAUAGCUCGCCGAAAGGCGAAUUAAUACCGCAUAUGAUCAGCUAAGACAUCUUAGCGACAUCAAAGCCGGGGCAACCUGGCGCUUUUUGAGGAGCCCGCGGCCUAUCAGCUAGUUGGUGAGGUAACGGCUCACCAAGGCUAUGACGGGUAGCUGGUCUGAGAGGACGACCAGUCACACUGGAACUGAGACACGGUCCAGACACCUACGGGUGCAGCAGUCGAGAAUUUUUCUCAAUGGGGCAACCCUGAAGGAGCGACGCCGCGUGGAGGAUGAAGG